CUCGCCCAUCUUCGGAUGGAGAAGUCGAGCCUCUACCUUUCGGUUCUCUUGGAACAAGACGGAAGAGAGUCACUCUUACCGUCGCGCAUACCAAAAGCGGGUCUGCCGCCUUCGUUUCUCUUUCUUCAGCGAAUGACUUUGGAUCAGCGCUCGCGCGCCGUACCGCAGCCCUUUGGGCUGCUGGCGCUCCGCGAGGGCGCGGCACGAGCCGCGACGGCCGGUCGGCCUUGCGAGGCUUCGCCUCGAGGUCAACAGCUUGUUACCGGCAGAGCGCGGUCUUUAGGGCUUGUAGCUCAGUUGGUUAGAGCGCGCGCUUGAUAAGCGUGAGGUCGGAGGUUCAAGUCCUCCCAGGCCCACCACUUCCUUAACACGAAGGUUAUCAGGGGCCGUAGCUCAGCUGGGAGAGCGCCUGCUUUGCAAGCAGGAUGUCGUCGGUUCGAUCCCGUCCGGCUCCACCAAAACGCGAUCUCGAAGAGAUCGUCGCUUCAGCCGCCACGUUGCGGUUUGGCAAGCGCGCGAUCCGCAGGAUCGUCGCGGUUCGCGACGGUCUUUACAGACCGCGUGUGGGUGUCGAGCAGAGAUGGUGAGAAAAAAGUCAUUCGAUAAAAGAGUUUGCGUCGAGCCUCGUGCUCCGCGCCUGUUCUGUUUGACAUCGUAAAGAGAAGAUUUGUUCGAACUUCAUGGCUGUAAAGCUGUGAUUUGUCGCAAGGGACGCUCAAUCCCUUGCCUAUGAUGGGUUUGCCUAACCGCGCCCUCGAACGGAUCUCGAGAAGCUGGUCUUUUUGUGCCAAUUCCAUUCGAGCUAAGCCCCGCACAGGGUUUGGCUCAUGCGACAAUCCCUUCGGGAUUGCGCUUAGCUAACCUCGUAAGGGGUUUGGCUUGAACGACGAUCCCUUCGGGAUCGCGUGAUGGGUAUUGGCAAUGAGAACGAUCAAGUGUCUUAAGGGCAAUUGGUGGAUGCCUUGGCAUGCACAGGCGAUGAAGGACGUGAUACGCUGCGAUAAGCUACGGGGAGGUGC
This 1019-nucleotide unclassified non-coding RNA is filed under the name Mesorhizobium sp. ORS 3671. RNAcentral's name for it is "partial 16S-23S ribosomal RNA intergenic spacer". The stretch from base 283 to 356 matches the Rfam family "tRNA". The record is from RNAcentral. Lineage: Bacteria; Pseudomonadati; Pseudomonadota; Alphaproteobacteria; Hyphomicrobiales; Phyllobacteriaceae.